AAUCCACACGACUCUCAGCAACGGAUAUCUCGGCUCUCGCAUCGAUGAAGAACGUAGCGAAAUGCGAUACCUGGUGUGAACUGCAGAAUCCCGCGAACCAUCGAGUCUUUGAACGCAAGUUGCGCCCGAGGUCUUUCGGCUGAGGGCACGCCUGCCUGGGCGUCACGC
RNAcentral lists this ribosomal RNA (168 nucleotides) under Anthoxanthum sp. PT-2016. RNAcentral's name for it is "5.8S ribosomal RNA". It matches the Rfam family "5.8S ribosomal RNA". From Rfam's summary of the family: 5.8S ribosomal RNA (5.8S rRNA) is a component of the large subunit of the eukaryotic ribosome. It is transcribed by RNA polymerase I as part of the 45S precursor that also contains 18S and 28S rRNA. Functionally, it is thought that 5.8S rRNA may be involved in ribosome translocation. The record is from RNAcentral. Lineage: Eukaryota; Viridiplantae; Streptophyta; Magnoliopsida; Poales; Poaceae.